UGGGGAAUUUUGGACAAUGGGCGCAAGCCUGAUCCAGCAAUGCCGCGUGCAGGAUGAAGGCCUUCAGGUUGUAAACUGCUUUUGUACGGAACGAAAAGACUCCUUCUAAUAAAGGGGGUCCAUGACGGUACCGUAAGAAUAAGCACCGGCUAACUACGUGCCAGCAGCCGCGGUAAUACGUAGGGUGCGAGCGUUAAUCGGAAUUACUGGGCGUAAAGCGUGCGCAGGCGGUUAUAUAAGACAGAUGUGAAAUCCCCGGGCUCAACCUGGGAACUGCAUUUGAGACUGGAUAGCUAGAGUACGGAAGAGGGGGAUGGAAUUCCGGGUGUAGCAGUGAAAUGCGUAAAUAUGCGGAGGAACACCGAUGGCGAAGGCAAUCCCCUGGGCCUGUACUGACGCUCAUGCACGAAAGCGUGGGGAGCAAACA
This 427-nucleotide ribosomal RNA is filed under the name uncultured bacterium. RNAcentral describes it as "bacterial SSU rRNA". It matches the Rfam family "Bacterial small subunit ribosomal RNA", at positions 355 to 774 of the family's 1533-position model. The record is from RNAcentral.